GAUGAAGAACGUAGCGAAAUGCGAUAAGUAAUGUGAAUUGCAGAAUUUAGUGAAUCAUCGAAUCUUUGAACGCACAUUGCGCCCCCUGGUAUUCCGGGGGGCAUGCCUGUUCGAGCGUCAUUUCAACCCUCAAGCUCUGCUUGGUAUUGGGCGUCGCCGGGGAGUCUCCCCGGCGUGCCUCAAAGCCAUCGGCGGUGGUGCCUUUCUCUAAGCGUGGUAGAAUUUUUAUUCGCUUCUGAGUUGGGCUUCGCCUGCCGGACAAACCGGGCCCUCGCGGCCCACCUUCUCAGGUUGACCUCGGAUCAGGUAGGGAUACCCGCUGAACUUAAGCAUAUCAAUAAGCGGAGGA
Molecule: unclassified non-coding RNA, 349 nt
Filed under: soil metagenome
Description: partial contains 5.8S ribosomal RNA, internal transcribed spacer 2, and large subunit ribosomal RNA
Rfam family: 5.8S ribosomal RNA (bases 1-120)
Source: RNAcentral